This 460-nucleotide ribosomal RNA is filed under the name uncultured bacterium. RNAcentral describes it as "partial 16S ribosomal RNA". It matches the Rfam family "Bacterial small subunit ribosomal RNA", at positions 338 to 795 of the family's 1533-position model. The record is from RNAcentral.
CCUACGGGUGGCAGCAGUGAGGAAUAUUGGUCAAUGGGCUAGAGCCUGAACCAGCCAAGUCGCGUGAAGGAUGACGGCCCUACGGGUUGUAACCUUCUUUUGUCAGGGAGCAAUGGUGUCCACGCGUGGGCUUAGCGAGAGUACCUGAAGAAAAAGCAUCGGCUAACUCCGUGCCAGCAGCCGCGGUAAUACGGAGGAUGCGAGCGUUAUCCGGAUUGAUUGGGUUGAAAGGGUGCGUAGGCGGAAUAUCAAGUCAGCGGUAAAAGUUCGGGGCUCAACCCCGUCGGGCCGUUGAAACUGACGUUCUUGAGUGGGCGAGAAGUAUGCGGAAUGCGUGGUGUAGCGGUGAAAGGCAUAGAUAUCACGCAGAACUCCGAUUGCGAAGGCAGCAUACCGGCGCCCAACUGACGCUGAAGCACGAAAGCGUGGGUAUCGAACAGGAUUAGAUACCCGUGUAGUC